CUUGGAACUGUUCCCACUAAAGCAGGGGACAGCAUUACAAGAUCUACUACCAUUUGUACUAAUUAGCAACUUUGCUGACAGCCUCUGAUCAGCAUUCUGGAUUCUAGGGAGCAUUUCUGGAGCUGAGGGACAACUGUCUGGGAAUUUCCAGCGUGCAGGUGGUAAAACACUGACUGCCAUGAACUUCAUCAGGGAAAAAAAAAAAAAAAAGAGGAAAAAGCUGUGGUUUGGAAGCAGCUGGAUGGCAAACUGCAGGCUGGGAAUGUGGCUGCCAAAACCACCACAAGGAGAGUGGGGCAUAGAGGCAUUUGUGGAGCAUUCCGUUUGCUAAUUGCUCGUGGAAUUUCAGGUUGAAAGAGAAGAAGGGAAUCUACCAGGUGGCUGCAUCUCGAAAAAAAGGUACAGAGAAAGUGGCAGGAACAUGGAUCUUCCUCUGAUCCCUGCUCUGGCACAGCUAAAGCUUGCAUGUGAGUUUCAUUCUUUUAUUUUUAUAAAAUCUGAAUUUCUACACUAACUUUGGAUCAAAA
Molecule: long non-coding RNA, 527 nt
Organism: Motacilla alba alba
Lineage: Eukaryota; Metazoa; Chordata; Aves; Passeriformes; Motacillidae
Exons: 5
Source: RefSeq, a predicted model, not a curated record